Molecule: ribosomal RNA, 254 nt
Filed under: uncultured bacterium
Lineage: Bacteria
Description: partial 16S ribosomal RNA
Rfam family: Bacterial small subunit ribosomal RNA
Source: RNAcentral
CACGUAGGGUGCGAGCGUUGUCCGGAAUUAUUGGGCGUAAAGAGCUCGUAGGCGGUGUGUCGCGUCGGCCGUGAAAACCUGCAGCUUAACUGUGGGCGUGCGGUCGAUACGGGCAUCACUGGAGUUCGGCAGGGGAGACUGGAAUUCCUGGUGUAGCAGUGAAAUGCGUAGAUAUCAGGAGGAAUACCGAUGGCGAAGGCAGGUCUCUGGGCUGACACUGACGCUCAUGCACGAAAGCGUGGGGAGCAAACAGG